Molecule: ribosomal RNA, 292 nt
Filed under: uncultured bacterium
Lineage: Bacteria
Description: partial 16S ribosomal RNA
Source: RNAcentral
GGACUACUGGGGUUUCUAAUCCUGUUCGCUCCCCACGCUUUCGCUCCUCAGCGUCAGUAUCGGCCCAGAGACCCGCCUUCGCCACCGGUGUUCCUCCUGAUAUCUGCGCAUUUCACCGCUACACCAGGAAUUCCAGUCUCCCCUACCGAACUCAAGUCUGCCCGUAUCGACUGCAAGCCCACAGUUAAGCUGUAGGUUUUCACAGUCGACGCGACAAACCGCCUACGAGCUCUUUACGCCCAAUAAUUCCGGACAACGCUCGCACCCUACGUAUUACCGCGGCGGCUGGCAC